This 208-nucleotide ribosomal RNA is filed under the name uncultured eukaryote. Its description in RNAcentral is "partial 18S ribosomal RNA". It matches the Rfam family "Eukaryotic small subunit ribosomal RNA", at positions 1299 to 1458 of the family's 1831-position model. The record is from RNAcentral.
UGGUGGAGUGAUUUGUCUGGUCAAUUCCGUUAACGAGCGAGACCAACACUUGCUAAAUAAACGGGACAACCUUCCGCUAUGCGAUGAAAGGCGACGGGCAGUGCGGCCUAACGGCUUCGCUCCGGUCGCUGGGAUUCGUUGAUGAGUUGUUCGCGUUUUCUUAGAAGGACUAUCGGCUUCAAGCCGAAGGAAGUUGUUGGCAAUAACA